This 440-nucleotide ribosomal RNA is filed under the name uncultured bacterium. Its description in RNAcentral is "partial 16S ribosomal RNA". It matches the Rfam family "Bacterial small subunit ribosomal RNA", at positions 338 to 795 of the family's 1533-position model. The record is from RNAcentral.
CCUACGGGAGGCAGCAGUGGGGAAUAUUGCACAAUGGGGGAAACCCUGAUGCAGCGACGCCGCGUGAGUGAAGAAGUAAUUCGUUAUGUAAAGCUCUAUCAGCAGGGAAGAAAAUGACGGUACCUGAGUAAGAAGCCCCGGCUAACUACGUGCCAGCAGCCGCGGUAAUACGUAGGGGGCAAGCGUUAUCCGGAUUUACUGGGUGUAAAGGGAGCGUAGACGGCAGUGCAAGUCUGGAGUGAAAGGGGGGGGCUCAACCCCAGGACUGCUCUGGAAACUAGUGAACUUGAGUGCAGGAGAGGUAAGCGGAAUUCCUAGUGUAGCGGUGAAAUGCGUAGAUAUUAGGAGGAACACCAGUGGCGAAGGCGGCUUACUGGACUGUAACUGACGUUGAGGCUCGAAAGCGUGGGGAGCAAACAGGAUUAGAUACCCCGGUAGUC